ACAGAAGCAAAGUUAUCAUCCAGGAUAAUGAUAUCCGAGUUUUCCUUAGCAACUUCUGUUCCUUGAAUGCCCAUUGAAAGGCCAAUAUCAGCCUCAUGCAAUGCAGGAGCAUCAUUUGUACCAUCUCCAGUUACAGCAACAACGUGUCCCCUCUUUCUCAAUGCUUGCACAAGCAGAAGCUUGUCAUUUGGAGCAGAUCUUCCCAUUACCAAUAUCUUCUCAGCAAUUUUUUCCUUUUCUUCAUCAGAGUACUCUCGAAAUACUUUUCCGUCAAUAAGAAUAGGCUCCACAGCCUCUUCUUUUGAACUUAGUAUCCCACAUUCCAAAGCAAUUGCUCUAGCAGUCUGAGGGUUAUCACCAGUGACCAUACGCACCUUGACACCAGCGUUUUGACAUAGUUGCACUGC
Molecule: unclassified non-coding RNA, 407 nt
Filed under: Hevea brasiliensis (rubber tree)
Lineage: Eukaryota; Viridiplantae; Streptophyta; Magnoliopsida; Malpighiales; Euphorbiaceae
Source: RNAcentral